GAGGAGCCCGCGGCCUAUCAGCUUGUUGGUAGGGUAACGGCCUACCAAGGCAAAGACGGGUAGCUGGUCUGAGAGGAUGACCAGCCACACGGGGACUGAGACACGGCCCCGACUCCUACGGGAGGCAGCAGUGGGGAAUAUUGGGCAAUGGGGGAAACCCUGACCCAGCGACGCCGCGUGGGUGAUGAAGGCCUUCGGGUCGUAAAGCCCUGUCGGGAGGAACGAAUGAUCUCGCGGUGAAUAACCGCGAGAUGUGACGGUACCUCCGAAGGAAGCACCGGCCAACUCCGUGCCAGCAGCCGCGGUAAGACGGAGGGUGCAAGCGUUGCUCGGAAUCACUGGGCGUAAAGGGUGCGUAGGCGGUCUCUCAAGUCUGGCGUGAAAGCCCAGGGCUCAGCCCUGGAAGUGCGCUAGAAACUGAGAGGCUUGAGUGCCGGAGGGGAGAGUGGAAUUCCCGGUGUAGCGGUGAAAUGCGUAGAUAUCGGGAGG
RNAcentral lists this ribosomal RNA (489 nucleotides) under uncultured Pseudomonadota bacterium. RNAcentral describes it as "bacterial SSU rRNA". It matches the Rfam family "Bacterial small subunit ribosomal RNA", at positions 224 to 704 of the family's 1533-position model. Lineage: Bacteria; Pseudomonadati; Pseudomonadota. The record is from RNAcentral.